CUAUUUUGAAAAAUGUGUAAAAAUCCAUGAUCUUGUCUGAUCUCAGGAGCUAAGCAGAGUUGGGCCUGGUUAAUAUUUGGAUGGGAAACCGCUAGGAUUACCAGAUGUCACAGUGGG
This 117-nucleotide ribosomal RNA is filed under the name Periophthalmus magnuspinnatus. Lineage: Eukaryota; Metazoa; Chordata; Actinopteri; Gobiiformes; Gobiidae. The record is from RNAcentral.